AAAUACCGAUCCCCUUAUGAACACCGAAGUUAAGCAACGUCGAACCUGUUCAGUACCAAGAUGGUUGACCGCUUGGAAAUACCAGGUCUU
Non-coding RNA from Acanthosepion pharaonis, 90 nucleotides. The record is from the annotation of a GenBank genome assembly. Lineage: Eukaryota; Metazoa; Mollusca; Cephalopoda; Sepiida; Sepiidae.